GUAGGGUGCAAGCGUUAAUCGGAAUUACUGGGGCGUAAAGCGUGCGCAGGCGGUUAUGUAAGACAGUUGUGAAAUCCCCGGGGCUCAACCUGGGGAACUGCAUCUGUGACUGCAUAGCUAGAGUACGGUAGAGGGGGAUGGAAUUCCGCGUGUAGCAGUGAAAUGCGUAGAUAUGCGGAGGAACACCGAUGGCGAAGGCAAUCCCCUGGACCUGUACUGACGCUCAUGCACGAAAGCGUGGGGAGCAAACAGGAUUAGAUACCCUGGUAGUCCACGCCCUAAACGAUGUCAACUGGUUGUUGGGUCUUCACUGACUCAGUAACGAAGCUAACGCGUGAAGUUGACCGCCUGGGGAGUACGGCCGCAAGGUUG
Molecule: ribosomal RNA, 372 nt
Filed under: uncultured organism
Description: partial 16S ribosomal RNA
Rfam family: Bacterial small subunit ribosomal RNA
Source: RNAcentral